This 30-nucleotide non-coding RNA is filed under the name Rattus norvegicus (Norway rat). The record is from RNAcentral. Lineage: Eukaryota; Metazoa; Chordata; Mammalia; Rodentia; Muridae.
UUCAGCCGAUUUGUAUAGUGAGCAAUGUUG